This 169-nucleotide non-coding RNA is filed under the name human gut metagenome. RNAcentral describes it as "Lysine riboswitch". It matches the Rfam family "Lysine riboswitch aptamer". Rfam says of the family: Riboswitches are metabolite binding domains within certain messenger RNAs that serve as precision sensors for their corresponding targets. Allosteric rearrangement of mRNA structure is mediated by ligand binding, and this results in modulation of gene expression. The record is from RNAcentral.
UGAGUAGAGGUUGCGUUUUUCAUCAGUAACCCGCUGGAUGUGUUCAGGCACAGUGGAAUGCGGGGGAAAGGGGAGAACGCCGAAAGAUGCAGUACCUGUAACUGCAUGCUUGGGCAUACAGUGAAUAACUGUAUGACUGUCAUCGUAUUACGAUGGGGAGCUACCUGAA